GCAGAGCGCUUACAAGUAUGGGCGUAGGGGCCCCCAUCGAGGAAAUUUCAACAAAAGCCUUCAAACGAGCCCCCUUCACUAAGCCUCCAUUUACUCAUGACGACCUCAGGAAAGCUAUUCCUCCUCACUGUUUCCAGCGCUCAAUCCCUCACUCUUUCCUCUACUUAUUUUACGAUGUAGCCGCCGUGUUUACCCUCUACCAUGUAGCCACAGAUUUCAUUCCUCUUCUGCCAAUCCAAUUAAGGUACUUGGCAUGGCCGGUGUACUGGGUGGCGCAAGGCUGCGUCAUGGUUGGGAUCUCGGAGAUAGCCCACGGGUGCGGUCACCACUCUUUCAGCGACCACGAGUGGCUCGACGACGUCGUGGGGUUGCUCCUCUACUCACCCCUCCUCAUCCCUUACUUCUCCUUCAAAUUCUCACACGGCAGACACCACGCCAACAUGGGUUCCAUCGGCCGCGAGGAAGCCCUCGCCACGAAGCGAAGGGAUGCCCUCAGCCAGAGAGGCGAAAGGAUCUUCCAGUGGCUCCGCAAAACGCCUUUCAGGCUCAUCAUCAUCACCGGGGGACUUCUCUUCGGGGUCCAGCUCUCCCUCACCAUCGGGUUCGGUGGCAGACAAUAUAACCAAAUCUCCAGUCUCCUCAAUCCUUGGAGUCCGAUCUUCAGUCGAAAAGAGCGGCUCCAAGUCGUCAUAUCCGAUAUCUUCCUGGCAGCCGCCCUGUACACGUACUAUCAGAUAGGGGUGACACAAGGGUGGGAAUGGUUCUUAUGCGUUUACGGAGGGCCGUACGUAGUCCACAACGCUUUGGCGGUCAUGAUGGUAUCCCUGUCACACAUGCAUCCGGCACUGCCGCGAUACGACUCCGACGAGUGGGACUGGCUCCGGGGAUCCCUCAGCACGGUCGACAGGGACUGGGGCGUCCUGAACCACACGUUCCACCACAUGCCUGACCUCCACGUGGUUCACCACCUCUUCCCGAAGAUGCCGCAUUACCACCUCCAGGAGGCCACCCAUUACGUGAGGCCCAUCUUGGGCGAGUAUUAUCAGCGCGACACAACGCCUAUCCACAAAGCCCUCUUCAGAGAGGUUCAAUGCUUGGCUUUCGUCCAGAAAGAUAACGACGUUAAACAUGGAGGUGUAUUCUGGUUUGCCAUCGAUAAAUCAUGA
RNAcentral lists this long non-coding RNA (1166 nucleotides) under Bemisia tabaci. RNAcentral describes it as "lncRNA ENSSSA1NGG007596". Lineage: Eukaryota; Metazoa; Arthropoda; Insecta; Hemiptera; Aleyrodidae. The record is from RNAcentral.